ANGCGCGGUCUAGGCAUGCAAGUCGAACGAACCUACUAAGCUUGCUUAACUAGGUUAGUGGCAAACGGGUGCGUAACACAUUGGUAACCUACCUCAAAGACGGGAACAACUCGGGGAAACUCGAGCUAAUACCCGAUGUGCUUGCUCUAUUGAUUAGAGUAAGUAAAGCUCCGGCGCUUUGAGAGGGGCCUAUGUCCUAUCAGCUUGUUGGUAAGGUAAAAGCUUACCAAGGCUACGACGGGUAGCGGGUGUGAGAGCACGAUCCGCCUCACUGGGACUGAGACACUGCCCAGACUCCUACGGGAGGCUGCAGUCAAGAAUCUUCCCCAAUGCACGAAAGUGUGAGGGAGCGACGCCGCGUGAUUGAAGAAGCCCUUCGGGGUGUAAAAGUCUUUUCUCUAGGACGAACUAAUGACGGUACUAGAGGAAUAAGGGGCUGCUAAACUCGUGCCAGCAGCAGCGGUAAUACGAGUGCCCCAAGCGUUAUCCGGAUUUAUUGGGCGUAAAGGGUACGUAGGCGGUCUAUUAAGUCAGUGGUAAAAUCCCGGGGCUCAACCCCGGACCUGCCUCUGAUACUGAUAGACUAGAGGCUGGAAGAGGCAAGUGGAAUUGCUGGUGUAGGGGUAAAAUCCGUUAAUAUCAGCAGGAACACCAAAUGCGAAGGCAACUUGCUAGGACAGUCCUGACGCUAAUGUACGAAAGCGUGGGUAGCGAAUGGGAUUAGAUACCCCANUANUCCACGCCGUAAACGAUGGAUACUANAUGUUGGACAGAUCNACCUGUGCANUAUUAAAGCUAACNCGUUAANUAUCCCGCCUGGGAAGUAUGCUCNCNANANUGAAACUCNNA
RNAcentral lists this ribosomal RNA (849 nucleotides) under uncultured bacterium. Its description in RNAcentral is "bacterial SSU rRNA". It matches the Rfam family "Bacterial small subunit ribosomal RNA", at positions 40 to 905 of the family's 1533-position model. The record is from RNAcentral.